RNAcentral lists this long non-coding RNA (11932 nucleotides) under Homo sapiens (human). RNAcentral describes it as "non-protein coding lnc-DIMT1-6:2". The record is from RNAcentral. Lineage: Eukaryota; Metazoa; Chordata; Mammalia; Primates; Hominidae.
AUUGGAAUUUCAUUCAUCUACUGGAUUCUCCUUGCCAAGUAAUUUCUGGGAAUUCCUCAGUCUUGCUCACAUGUUGUACUACUCUCUCCUGGAUGUCACUUGUCACCUCUACCAGCCCUCCUUUCUCCAGAUGGCUUCUUCAUAACCACCAGGUCAGAAGAGGAUCCGUUCCAAUGAUUUUCCUAAAACAAUGGAAGUGUUUUCCAAAGCCUGGUGAAAUCCUGCUCACCCUGCAAGAUCUAUGUAGAGUGACUUUCUCUGUUCCUUGUCUGUUUCCCAUGCCCUCAAACACUCUUAUUAUAGAUGAAGCAAGCCUUUGCCAUCUCCAGGCUCUCCAUUGCCUUUGACUCCACUUCUGCCUGCUGAUCUGCAUUGCCUACCUCUGAUGUCAAUCCGUGUUGGUCCCCACCUGAAAGGCCACUUUCUUGUACUAAAGAGGAUGUACUAGCCUGGAUACCUCAAGUCUUUCUGUCUGUAAUUCUCAAAAUUCAGUCUUGGAAUAAAUAGUUCCCUUUUGAACUAUGCAGACCGCAUCAUUUGCAUUUCUUUUCUAGCUUUUGCUGUUCCUAUUGGCGACUGCACAAUUCUUAGCAACACUGAAGUGCUGGAGGUGAAGCUCUCCGUGUGUUGUCUUCAGAUGACGAAUGUAUUCUUCUGAUGACUUGGGACAAAUUCUCCCUCCAAAAUGCCACUGUCUGUGAAUACACCCUCCUGUAAAACUCUGGCCAUAGUACAGGGUGAAAGGUUUUAUGGACAAAAAACAAUGUUGCAGAUUACUCUCUUCUAGAUUACUCAAAAGUCCUCUCCUCUAUGGCAGCUUCCUAUAAUCCAAUCACAGUCCUUUCUGAGUCUUCCCACCUCACCUGGCUUCUGCAGCUGGAGUUAAACAUGAUUUGCUCUUUGCUUUCUUAGGCUUUUGUUACUGAAUUAUUUUAUGUUAUCUUUUAGAUGUUGAUGGUCACUUGCACGUGCCAUAGCGGAGGUCUAAUGGUCUCAAGGAGGAUUUUAACUUUGUAUUUUGGAGCUUAUAAGGCAUUGUAGGAUCUGGCCUGCCCUGACUCCACUUUACCAGAACCAUCUGCUGCUCUUCUCUCUUGUGUUACUCAAGGUAUUAGCUGCUGUGGCAAAUCAACUCUGAAAUCUCCGUGACUUAAUACAAGAGAGGUUUAUUUCUUACUCACGCUGGGUGCACUGCCACUUGGUAACAGAGGAGCUAUGGAAACUUGAGACCUAAGCAGAAAUGAGUUCAAUAAUAUUGCUACACUCUAGGACUUUCUCCAAAAUUAACAACAGAACAAAAGUGCAAGGCAGUGAUAACCCAUCUGACAGCAUUUGGGGAGUGUUUGUGAAAGCAAUGGUGAUGGAGGUUUUAAAAGAAUGUCAGAUCAUAUAAGCAAGAAUGUUGAUGAACAUAGCUUGGGACCAAGACGGCUUCAUUUUGAUCCCAAGGCCUGCUGACAAUGUGCUGAAAGGAAAGAGGAUCUUCAAUUUUUUUAAAAACAGGAAUGAUUUGGUGUGUUCGUUCUUAACAAUUGUUAAACAACAUAAAAUGUGAUUCUUAUACUUAAUUUUUGUCUCUCAAAGUUAAAGUAAUAGGAGGUAACCACACAGUUGGAAAUUUGCUGAUAUACAUACAAAUGAUGUCAUAAAAAUUGGGGAUGUUUAGAUAAAAAUCAGGGUUAGACUGACGUGUUUAACUCCAAAGCUUUCUACACCUGGAAGACAUUACUCAAGCCCUGUUACAGUGCUAUGAUACUAAUUAGUGCCAAUACCCUCCAAUAAUUUUGAAUUCUUUAACUCUCUCAUUAAUCCUGAUGUACAUUUCAGGAAAAUGAAUUCAUGCUGAUUUGACAUCAAGCAAUAAAUAAAGGCAGUGAAGGACACUUGCCCUUGGUGGAAAGAUGGCAUCUUAGCCAGGCAGCCAGCCGGUCUGUCAACAGCAUUUAUUGAGUGUCUAAUGAGAGAAAGGCCACGAGACAAAGAGGAGACAUGGGCUCUGGCCUUGGGGAGCAGCCAGGGCAAUGACAGAGGCAGAGAAAAGAGUGGAGAUGUGUCUGCCAAAUAUUGGAGAAGCAGCACAUCAGUGAGGGCAACCUGGAGGAGGGGGCGCCUCCCGUUUGCUGGUCACCUUGCGCAUGGCAGCCUAUGCUAAUGGCCUUUUUAUUGGUGAACCUAUCAGAUACUCAAGCAAUGCUGUGAGGGAAAUGGUGCCAACUUCUCCAUGCCUCAGUUUCUCAGCUGUAAAAUGAACUCCACUGAGUGGCUGGGGAGUGGCAAAGCCAGUGUCUGUGCAACUCCUUCCACAGACAGAGGGCUGUCUGUGGUCAGAGGGCACUGAACACUGGCAGGGGCGAGGAAAUGAGAAGAGGGGUGCUUCAGCUACAGCUGUCUAAGACUCCCCCACCUUUCAGGCCCAUUAAGAAAAUGUAAGAUUUCAAAUGAGGGGAAAAACUAUGAAAUUCUCAUUUUAGGAUUUGGCUAAGGAGAUUACAAAAGAAUCACAAUACACACAUUUGGCUUUAGCACAUGUUCAGUUCUGUCACAUUUGUAUGCUUUAUGCUGGUAGAAGGAAAUGUAUAGCUGGAUGCCUGUGUGAUCUAGUAGCUUUUCAAUAGCAUGGCAGGGCGGAGCCCGCUGAUUCUCCAUCGUGUUUCUCUCUAGGUGCACAGCAGUGCAACGUAGGGGUGCCUCCCUAAUGGGUUGCAAAUCUUCAUUUAUUUCUGUUGUGUUCUGGGGAUGAAACCAAUGAAGAGAAGGUGGAGGAAACCCACUCCCCAUUUCCCUGAUGCAGAGAAGGUUCUUCCUUUAUACUCUCAUCAACCCCAUUCUUGGGCCCUAUAUUAAUCCAUUCUUGCACUGCUAUAAAGAAAUACCUGAAAUGGGGUAAUUUAUAAAGAAAAGAGGUUUAAUUGGCUCACGGUUCUAAAGGCUGUACAGGAAGCACAGUGGCUUCUGCUUCUGGGGAAGCCUCAGGAAAUUUACAAUCAUGGCAGAGGUGAAGGAGAAACAGGCACGUCUUAUAUGGCCAAAGCAGGAACAAGAGUGUGGUGGGGGUGGGGGUGCUAAACACUUUUAAAGGAACAGAUCUUGUGAUAACUCACUCUUGCCAUGACAAUACCAAGGGGGAUGGUGUUAAACCAUGAGAAACUGCCCCCAUGAUCCAAUCACUUCCCACCAGGCCCCACCUCCAACAUUGGGAAUUACAAUUUGACAUGAGAUUUGGGCAGAGACACAGAUGUAAGCCAUAUCAUGUCCCUUGGCAAUAACAGCACAGAGGGAUAUUAAUUGGCCUUUGUGAAUACACAGGAGCCAUAAAGACUUUAGUUGUAGCCACAUGAAAUUAUAGACACUGGUUGUAAUAAUAGAAAUGCUUCAUCAAUAAGCUGGUUGUUUAAUUUUGACAAAAGCACAAGAAGUUUGAUUUUCUUCUUUCUCUCUAUUUGGUUAAAGUGACUGAUUUGGAGGAAGUAGGAGUUGGGGCAGAAUGACUGUGUUCUGUCAGACACACUCAGCCUCAGGAAGCCAAGCCAUAGCUCACAUGUUUGGGAAGCAGAGGCCCUCAGAAGAUGGGUAUAACAUAGCCAUGUUUGCCUGCAGAACUUGAAUAUGAGAUAUACUUAUUCUUUAUUUCCAAAUACAGUAUUUUCAAAUAAUUUUCUUCUAAAUUAGAGGAAAUAGGCUUAAAUUUUAGCAUAAUUAGGCUAUUCAUUCACUUAGCAAACACACAUGGAUCACCUAUGGUCAAAUAGAACACCAGGUACUGGGGAUCGAGAAAAUCCUGUCUGGCCCUGUCCUCAAGGAGCUCCAUCUAUGGGGAAGAACAUAUGUAAAGUGUGUAGAACCCACUGUGAUACCUGUGGAUAGUAGAUGUGUGUACAAGGUAACUUGGUUGUCCAGAAGAGAUCACAGUUCUUGGCAAACAUGUUUACGUUACUCUAGGAUGUGGCUUUGGACAGAUGUUAUAAAACAAAGUGAAUGACUUCUUGGCUUGGAGGCUGUAUAAAGUUCCAUUCUAGUUUACAAGUGUUAGUUCUUAUCUACGGAACUUAGGUGUUCCAUAGUUGCUGCAGGCUAAUGUGUGGAAAUGGGAUCCGAGAGGCUUGGAGGUGCAAGGUUUGAAAUUGCUUAAAAGCUGAAUAUGUCCAUCUUCUUCAUUCCCACUGCAGGUUAUCCACCUGUAAGUGGAGAAACAUUUCUGAUCUCACAAGGGACACAUAAACGGAGGACUGGCCUGACUGAAUCUCUGAAUGCUGGAAGUUGCCAUGACUCCAGUAGGAAGGGAAGGAAAGCUAUCUAUCAGAAUUGUGAGGGGCCAAAUAGGAGGCAAAUGGAUGAGCAUAUUGUACAAUACUCUCCUAAACUUUAGGGAGUGAAGUGUAUGUCGAUCAGCCAAGUCAUAAUUCUAAUGGACUGGGAAUUUUGGCUCAUUAAAAUAGUCCUAUGAAUAAAACCAAAACAUACAAUUUUAAAGUAAAAAAAAAAUGGAACCUGAGUCAAAUCAAACCAGAUUUAAACUAACAAACAAAACAAACAAACAAACAAAAAGAACCAGAGUGUCACUAGAAGAAAUGGUAACCAAAAUGGAAGAAGAAAAGAAGUAGCAGAGGAUCUUAAGUUUGUUUUUGUUUUUCUCCUUUUCAUAAUGGAAAAUCUCAAUCAUAAUAAGAAAUAGAGGGACUGGUGUGAUAAAUCCUCGUGUGUACUUAUCACCCAGCUUCAAUAAUUUUAUUAGCUCAUGACCAAGCUCGUUUCAUUUAUACCACCCCAUUUCCCCACCCUGCUGCACCCCCACUGGCCCAGGGAUUGAGAUGGUAAUUUUGAAUGUGAAAUCAGGCAUAUCCAGGAAGGAGAGCAGUGGGCAAGGAGGAAUCUGUGCCAAUUGUGAGGAUGUGCCAUUUGGCACCAAGUGAAGAGGUGGCAUCUGUAUCUGUAUCUUGUGCUUGUUUGUCCCUUUUUUUGCUUCCAAACUUUUUGUUUCUUUCUAGUGCUUAGAGUUAUAGAUUAUAGGAAGUUGACUACAAGUGUUUUAGGUGUUUUCUGCUUUAAUAACCGUAUCUGAAAAGAAGAAGGGAGGGAGUGAGAGAGCAUGGUAAGAUGGAACAAGGGUUGUAGGACUGAGGAGCAAGGCACAGAGAUUAAGCUUGCAAGUGGCCAAUCCAGCCCUUGGAAGAUGGGCAGAACCUACCCUAGUCCCAGCCCCCUUCCCUCUACCUUCAUUUCCUCCAUGCUCCAGGCAGACAGGCUGAACCACUGUCCAUUCCCCAAUAACCCACAUUCUCUUGACUCCAAGUUUCUUCAAAUGCUGUCACUCAGCUUCAAAUACCACCUCUUCCUUUUAUCUUGCCAGUGACUCCUCCAGUCUCAGCUCUUACACCACUUCCACUAUGAGGUCCCUUAGCCCCAAAGUGGCUGGGUGGAGCACCCUUUCUAGAUCCUCUCCAGCUUCCUGUAGUCAUCCGCAAUGGAGCACUUUCCACAUUGUUGUGUAACUCCCUGUGUAAUCACUUGUCCUGCCCAACAAUGGGGAUUCAAUAAGACUAGAGCUGUGAUCAUUUUGUAGUUGCACCCCCAGUGUAUGCCCAGUGCCCAGCAUAUAAUAGAUGCCAAUAUAAUUGUAAAGAAUGCAUAAUAAACUGAAAAUAGAAUUUGUAGUAUAUGCAGCAAUGCAGACCUAAGAAUAGAGAGUGAUCCAGGGCCUCCUUUGUGGGAAUCAGAUAAAAAGUGACUUUUUUGAGAACAAAUGCCACCCCCAAAUUAGGACACACUAUGUAUGGGCUGAAUUUCAGUCCUCUCUGGUUUCUUUAGUUAGGUGUCCUUGUGCAAUGAACAACCUGCCCAACCACAUCCAGCAAAUAUGGAAGGAUCUUUACACCAAUGGUUUUCAACUCUGGCCACGUGUUAGAAAAACCUGGGUAACUUUUUGAAAUUGUCCCGGUCCAAGCCCCAAUCUCAGAGAAUUGGAUUUAAUUGAUCCUGGAGCAUGGGUUUUAAGGUCCCUCCUGGUAUUGCAGCCUGAAUUGAGAACUACAGCUUUAGAUCUACUGUCAUGAUCAUCUCACUCUAGGCUGUAUUACAGACGUGUGUUUGCCUCUCAUAGGCAUCCCGAUGGGGUUCACGGUCCAGCUGAAAUGCUAACGGCAACACCAAUCAUUGGCACUUCUAGAUUUACUGCCAGGAGUCUUUGCCUUUAUCACCCAACCCCAGAUGUCUAGGCAUGUCCCCAUGGCCUGUCCCUCACUGAAGAGAGAGCUAACAGGCAGCUGCACCACUACCCUGACCUGCAACUUAGGAUUAUGAAGGGAAGAGUUCUGAAGUUAAGUCCUUGCCCAACCCAUACCUGGUAUGUGACCUUGGGGAAGUUAUUAACAAUUCCCUGCUUCAGUUAUCUUGUCCAUAAAAGUAACUAAUGGUACGGGUCUACUUACCUGAAAUGGCAUAAGCUUUAAUGAGCAAAUAAUUGUAAGCUGCUCCAUAAAAUAAAUUGUUGUGCAGUUGCUAAAUAACCUCAUUGUUUAAAACUCCAUAGAAACCUAUGCUAUUCCUCUGAAUUUUUACAAUAACUAUUUGAUUUAUGCAUACAAGACAUCAUUUGCCUAAAAAUCCUUUCUUAUAUGGGCAUUCUCUUUGAUUUAUUCUCUUUCACUCUGCCAGCACACAACCUGACAUAUGUAUAAAGGAUUUGCAAGAAAAAUCACUUAAUGCAUAGCAUUUCCUUUGUUGUGACUGUGUUAUCAUGAACUGUUAUAGUUGUCACUUAUUCUCAGAAUUGUUUGUCUAGUUUUUGUUCAGGCUUAUAAAUACUCACCUUGGACAUGGUUUAUAGACAGUGUAGGGAAAACAAAUACAUAUGCUGGAAUAGUCAACUUAGAUUUAUUCUUACUUAAGAAAAAAAAGGCUUAAAGGUUUAAUGUGUGCUUGAUAAGCUAUAAGUCAGCCAGAAAGAUGCAAGCAGUUUAUAUUUACUCUCCUGUGUAGACUCGACAUUUACAGUUUCAGCCUUUCUCAGUACUUCUUCAGCAGGUUAUGUCUUUCCCAGAAGAACUGAUCUCAAAGCACAAUUUCCAAGAAUGCUAUUAAAAGAAGAGUAGGGACUUUUCGCCAACUACAUAUUGUGGAGGAGUGGAACAUGAACAUGAGGGACUCAAGAAUUUGAGUGUUUGUUAACGUACCUUGAGUGGGCUUGACUGAGGCUGCUCAUAGUGUCUUUACAAGUCUGUGAAGAAAGUCUGCAGUUGGUAAUGCCCCCCCGCCAAUCUUUUGGCAGCAACCUCCACUCCUAGAACAUUACCUUUCCUAUUCCAGAAGAAAGCAAUUAAUAUUGCUGGGCAGGAGUCAACACUCUAAAGGAGCCUGGGCUUUGGGUCUGCUCUUUGGAGAAUUCCUCAGGAAACUGGUGCUAAAACAAGGGGUCACAUUUCAUCGCCUUUUGCCAGAGAUAUAGUGUGGUGUGGUAUGGAGACACAGGGCUCAACUUUUGGUUCACACUCUGAGGCUUUGGACAGGCUUUGGCACUUCAUUUUUCUAAUCCUCUAUUUCCUAAUCUGUAACAUGAAGAUACAAAUACCCAAUAGGUUUAUUGUGGGGGAUAAAUGACAUCACCUACGUGAGAUGUCUAACAUCAUGUUAAGCACACGGAAGAAAUUCUUCAAAGGUUUGCUAAAUUUGAAUUAUAAAAUAUCCAGGAUCUUAAUCCACAGAGAAGAGAUACAUUAAAAAUGAUAGACAGGGUAAUAUAGUGGAAAAACAAUAGGCUUUAGUUUCAGAAGAGUUGAGUACCUGUCUCUGUCAUCAACUAGCUGUGUAACCUUGGGUAAGUUAAGUAACUUACUACUUAACCUCCCUCAUCCAUCAUUUCCUGAGUUGGAAAAUGAGAAAAAUAUUGUCCAUCACAUAGGGUUACUAGACAGACUAAAUAAGAUAACACAAGUGAAUUCCUGAAAAAAAUGGAAGAAUUUGAAAGGGUCAAUGAUAAUGGUUUGUGUUGUAUCAGUUUUAGGAAGCAACUCUUCUAUACCCUUUCAAUCAGUGAUGGAUUAGAGAUUUUUUUUCUAAUUUUAACAUUGCUAAAAAGCAAUGUUUUCUUUAUAGACCAAAAGGAAGUCUAUUAACUGUAACUGAGGUCUGUUACUAGCUACUAUUCUUCACUAGUAAAAUAUAUAGAUCAAAUUCUUUAUACAAGGUUGGUGUUUCUCUUAGCCACAAGAUGACACAGCAGCACUGAUUAAGGCCUCCUUUCCUCUCAUAGCAUGUUACUAGGUUGUUUCCUUCAUGGUUACUAAUUUCAUAUGACUUCACGGGCUGAUUACAUAUUUAUGUAUUAUUUAUUAUGCAAAUCUAGCAUUAUACAUUAUUUAAAACCAUAUUAAUAGUAUGUAUUAUUUAUGAUGGAACUGUAUUAAUAUACAUUAUUUCAAGUAUCUUUGGCUAGGGCUUUUUUUUUCCUGUGGAUUUUGGUCAUUAGAAGUUAGUAUUCUACUCAAGAAUCAAUACAGCUCUCCUGGGGACAUUACCAUCAAGUUCCUUAUCAUUGCAACUUCUGCAUAGCCAUUGUCUGUUAAAUGACUCUAACAUUAAGAGGCAAAGCCUACAGGGCUCUGACUGCCUAGGAUUAUGGCUAUGCAAUGCCACUCCUUUAAAAAAUUGUGAAGUAGUUUUUAUGCCAUUAAGAUUCCACCUCCUCUGAUGGCAGCCUUCAUUCUCAGAACAUCAUCUUUCUGAUUGUGGAAGAAAGCAGUUGGAUAAAUCUGAGAAACUGAGCCAUGGUAAAAUACAUCAAGUAGGAUGUAUUUGGCUACAAGCCUAAAAAAUAGUGGCUUACGUAUUGAGAAUGUAUAUUAUCUCACCUAAUAGGAAGUUUAAAGGUAGGUGAGCCCAGGGAUAGUUCUGUGGUUUAAUGUGGGGGUCAGCUUCUCUAUGAUUCUCCUCUCUUUACUUUCUGUGUUUGACAGUAUUACUCUAGAUUGUUGCCACAUGGAUGUAAGUUGGUUGACACAUCCAAGCAUCAAAUCCUCUCACAAAAAUCUUCAAAUGAAAGAAUGAAACAGGGAAAGAGAAAGCUUUGUUUUAUCUUCAGCUCUAAGUUUUAUCUGGGAGAAAAUCUUUUCCAGAAAUCCCCCAGCAGACUGGGACACAUACCUACACCUUGGCCAAAUCAUCAACAAAGAAUAAUAAAACUGCCUCCUUUUUUUCCCAUGGCAUGGAACAAGCUAUUGCAUUCCCUGAGGAUUAGAACCUUCAAAUUAAAGCAAAAUUGGCUCUGUUAGCAAGGAAAGAGGGAUAAUAGUUAUUAGGUGGGUAGCCAUAAAUAUCUGUCAUGAGGUGCUAGGAAUUUAGUUGGUCAUUCUUUAUGAUAAAAUUUACAUUUAAAAGAUUGAGAUUUUUAAAAGAACCUAGACUAUUUUUAAUUUGCUGCCAAGACGGAAUAACAGGGACAUGAUUUACUUUCUCAUCUGAAAACCCAGAAAAAAAUGUGAUCCAAUGAUUUUCAUGACAUUUGACAGCAGGGAAUGAAGGAUGGUGAUUACCAAGAGACAACAAACAAAUAAGGUGAGACCUAGAAGAAUGCUAGAGAAAAGAUUGACCAUGUUGAAUAGACUCAUGGAAGAUAUUAAGAAGACCCAAAUAGAACUUCUAAAAUGUCUGAGAUGAAAAAUAUGCUGGAUGAGAUUAAUGGCACAUUGGAGUCUCUGGAUGAGUGAGGGAGAUAUGGAAAAAAUAUUUGAGUAAAUAAUGGCCAAAAUUUUUCCAAAUUUAAUGCACACUACAAAUUCACAGAUACAAGAAGCUCAGCAAACUCCAAGAAUAAAAAGAAAGAAAAAAGAAAAUAACUCCAAGGCACAUCAUAAUAAGAUUUCUUAAAACUUGUGACAAAGAUAAAAAUUUUAAAGCAGACAGAUAAAAAAGAUAAGUACAGAGGAAAAAGCAUAGGUAUGACUGCAGAUUUCUCCCUAGAAACAACGUGAGCAAGAAGACAAUGGAGCAACAUUUAAAAUGCAUUGAAAGGAAAAAUUUUAAAAAACCUAACUUUAAACCUGAAAUUCAUAACCCAGCAAAAAUAGAUUUCAAAAAUUAAGACAAAAGAAAGGAUUUUUCAGAUAUAGGAAAGUUGAAAUAAUCUAUCCCCAGCAGACCUGUAUUAUAAGAAAUGUAAAGAAAGUUCUUAAAGCAGAAGUAAAAUGAUAUUAGAAGACAAUUUGGAAUUAAAAGACUUGAGAAUGGUAAUUACUUGGGUAAAUAUAGACAUUUUCUUAUCUAAAUUUCUUAGAAGCAUAAUUGCUUGCUUAAAUAAAAAAUAAUAACAGUGUAGUGUGCACUUUAUGGCAUCUAUAGAAGUUAAAUGUAUAACAACAAUAGUACAGUGGCCAGAAAGGGAGAAAGGAAGCAUACUGCUGAAAGGCUUUUAUACUAUACAUGGAGUGAUAUGCUAUCACUUGAAGGUAGACUGUGAUAAUUUUAAGAUAUAUAAUAUAAUUCUCUGAUAUCAUACCAUGAAGAAACUAACCACCUGCUUGUUUACAGUUGAUUAAAUUGAACUCCCUUCUAACUUGGGAAGGGCAACUGUAUAUCUUGAUUGAAACUGGCACACAUUCUGAGUACGAGUUUGCCUUAUAGAGUGUUUGAUUCACCAACACAAGAUUGUGCAUUACAUCACAUUUGACCAUGGGACCCACUUUCCUACAAGGGAGAUACAAUGCUAUGCACAUGACCAUAGGAUGCACUUUUUAAAAAAUGAUACAUGAUUGUUGUACAUAUUUUGGGGAUACAUGUAAUAACUUAAUACAUUCAUGUAAUUUGUAGGAUAAAAUCAGUGAAAUUGGGGUAUUCAUUUCCUUAAAUAUUUGUCUUUUCUUUAUGUGAGAAACAUUCAAGUUAUUCUCUUUUAGUUAUUUUGAAAUGUGCAAUAGAUAAUUGUAAACUAUAGUCAACCUACAAAUGUAUCAAACACUAGGUCUUAUUUCUUCUAUCAAACUGUAUACUUGUACCUGUUAAUAAGCCUAUCUUAAUCCCCCUCUUCCCACUACCCUUUCCAGCCCCUGGUAACCACCAAUCUACUCUCUGUUAUAAGAUCCACUUUUUUAGUUUCCACAUAUAAGUGAGAAUACAUAAUAUUUGUCUUCCUGUACUUGGUUUAUUUUGCUUAACAUAAAGACCUCUAGUUUCAUCCAUGUUGCUGCAAAUGACAGAAUUUUAUCCUUUUUUUUAAUAUAUAAAUGUAGAAUAUUCCAUUGUGCAUAUAAUCACAUUCUCUUUAUCCAUUCAUCCAUUAAUGGGCACUUAGGUUAAUUGCGUAUUUUGGCUAUUGUGUAUAGUGCUGCAAUAAACAUGGGAGUGCAGCCAUCUCUUUCAUAUAUUGAUUUCUUUUCCUUUGGCUAUAUAUAUAGCAAUGGAAUUGCUGGAUUAUGUGAUAAUUCAUUUUUAGUUUUUUGGGGAAUCUCCAUUCUGUUUUCCACAGUGGUUAUACCAAUUUACAUUCCCACCAAAAGUGCAGGAGGGUUCCCCUUUCUCUAUUUUCUGUCUUUUUAAAAUAAAAGCCAUUUUAACUGGAGUGAGAUGCUAUCUUAUUGUGAUUUUAAUUUGCAUUUCUCUGAUAAUUAGCGAUAUUGGGCAUUUUUUUCAUGUACCUCUUGGCCAUUUGUAUGUCUUCUUUUAUGAAAUGCCUAUUCACAAUAAUUAAUAGCUUACCAACCAAAAAAAGUCCAGGACCAGACAGAUUCACAGCCAAAUUCUACCAGAAGUACAAGGAGGAGCUGGUACCAUUACUUCUGAAGCUAUUCCAAUCAACAGAAAAAGAGGGAAUCCUCCCUAACUCAUUUUAUGAGGCCAGCAUCAUCCUGAUACCAAAGCCUGGCAGAGACACAACAAAAUAAGAGAAUUUUAGGCCAAUAUCCCUGAUGAACAUCGAUGCAAAAAUCCUCAAUAAAAUACUGGCAAA